This 253-nucleotide ribosomal RNA is filed under the name uncultured bacterium. RNAcentral's name for it is "partial 16S ribosomal RNA". It matches the Rfam family "Bacterial small subunit ribosomal RNA", at positions 524 to 776 of the family's 1533-position model. The record is from RNAcentral.
UACGUAGGGUGCAAGCGUUAUCCGGAAUUAUUGGGCGUAAAGAGCUCGUAGGCGGUUUGUCGCGUCUGCUGUGAAAACUGGAGGCUCAACCUCCAGCCUGCAGUGGGUACGGGCAGACUAGAGUGCGGUAGGGGAGAUUGGAAUUCCUGGUGUAGCGGUGGAAUGCGCAGAUAUCAGGAGGAACACCGAUGACGAAGGCAGAUCUCUGGGCCGUAACUGACGCUGAGGAGCGAAAGCAUGGGGAGCGAACAGG